Molecule: ribosomal RNA, 465 nt
Filed under: uncultured bacterium
Lineage: Bacteria
Description: partial 16S ribosomal RNA
Rfam family: Bacterial small subunit ribosomal RNA
Source: RNAcentral
GACGAACGCUGGCGGCGUGCUUAACACAUGCGAGUCGAGCGGAAACGCCCUGUUUCCAUAGUACGCGAGUGGCGAACGGACGAGUAACACGUAGGUGAACUGCCCUGCACUUCGGGAUAAGCCUGGGAAACUGGGUUUAAUACCGGAUAGGAGCCAUUACUAGUGUGCAGGAUGGAGAGUUUUUACGUUGUAGGAUGAGUUAGCGGCCUAUCAGAGUGUUGGUAGGUUAAUGGCCUACCAAGGCGGCGACGGGCAGUCGGCCGGAGAGGGUGGACGGCUACACUGGCACUGAGAGACGGGCCAGAAGCCGACGGGAAGCAGCAGUGAUGGAUAUAAGACAGAGGGCGCCAGGCUGAUGCAACGACGCAGCGUGGGGGAUGACGAAACUUGGGUUGUAUACUCCUAUCGCUAGGGACGAAACUUUCUUUGACGGUACCUAGAUAAGAAGCACCGGCUAACUACGUG